CCUGGUGGCUCAGAGGUUAAAGCAUCUGCCUGCAAUGUGGAAGACCUGGGUUCAAUCCCUGAGUCAGGA
Molecule: transfer RNA, 69 nt
Filed under: Bos taurus (domestic cattle)
Lineage: Eukaryota; Metazoa; Chordata; Mammalia; Artiodactyla; Bovidae
Also listed under: 2 other names
Rfam family: tRNA
About the family: Transfer RNA (tRNA) molecules are approximately 80 nucleotides in length. Their secondary structure includes four short double-helical elements and three loops (D, anti-codon, and T loops).
Source: Rfam by way of RNAcentral